AGUGAACGCUGGCGGUAGGCCUAACACAUGCAAGUCGAACGGCAGCACAGUAAGAGCUUGCUCUUACGGGUGGCGAGUGGCGGACGGGUGAGGAAUACAUCGUAAUCUACUUUUUCGUGGGGGAUAACGUAGGGAAACUUACGCUAAUACCGCAUACGACCUACGGGUGAAAGCAGGGGAUCUUCGGACCUUGCGCGAUUGAAUGAGCCGAUGUCGGAUUAGCUAGUUGGCGGGGUAAAGGCCCACCAAGGCGACGAUCCGUAGCUGGUCUGAGAGGAUGAUCAGCCACCUUGGAACUGAGACACGGUCCAGACUCCUACGGGAGGCAGCAGUGGGGAAUAUUGGACAAUGGGCGCAAGCAUGAUCCAGCCAUACCGCGUGGGUGAAGAAGGCCUUCGGGUUGUAAAGCCCUUUUGUUGGGAAAGAAAAGCAGCAGGUUAAUACCACGCUGUUCUGACGGUACCCAAAGAAUAAGCACCGGCUAACUUCGUG
RNAcentral lists this ribosomal RNA (492 nucleotides) under uncultured bacterium. Its description in RNAcentral is "partial 16S ribosomal RNA". It matches the Rfam family "Bacterial small subunit ribosomal RNA", at positions 29 to 507 of the family's 1533-position model. The record is from RNAcentral.